CUGCAGAGAUGUGGUGGUCUUCGGACUGGUGUGCAGGUGGUGCAUGGUUGUCGUCAGCUCGUGUCGUGAGAUGUUGGGUUAAGUCCCGCAACGAGCGCAACCCUUGUCUCGUGUUGCCAGCACUUUGGGUGGGGACUCGCGAGAGACUGCCGGGGUUAACUCGGAGGAAGGUGGGGAUGACGUCAAAUCAUCAUGCCCCUUAUGUCUUGGGCUUCACGCAUGCUACAAUGGCCGGUACAGAGGGUUGCGAUACUGUGAGGUUGAGCGAAUCCCUUAAAGCUGGUCUCAGUUCGGAUCGAUGUCUGCAACUCGACAUCGUGAAGGCGGAGUCGCUAGUAAUCGCAGAUCAGCAAUGCUGCGGUGAAUACGUUCUCGGGCCUUGUACACACCGCCCGUCACGUCACGAAAGUUGGUAACACCCGAAGCUCAUGGCCUAACCACGUUUGUGGGGGGAGUGGUCGAAGGUGGGAUUAGCGAUUGGGACGAAGUCGUAACAAGGUAGCCGUACCGGAAGGUGCGGCUGGAUCACCUCCUUUCUAAGGA
This 543-nucleotide ribosomal RNA is filed under the name Boudabousia marimammalium. Its description in RNAcentral is "bacterial SSU rRNA". It matches the Rfam family "Bacterial small subunit ribosomal RNA", at positions 998 to 1533 of the family's 1533-position model. The record is from RNAcentral. Lineage: Bacteria; Bacillati; Actinomycetota; Actinomycetes; Actinomycetales; Actinomycetaceae.